AUACCCACCAAGUAUUUUCAACUUAAUGAAUGGUGGGAAUAUGUAUAAUUUAUAUGGCGGCAGUUAAUAUUAAUAAGCAAUAAUGCAAUGAAACAGCAUACAUGAAGAAGAAGAAGAAGACAAAUGAUAUUGAUUGCAGUUGAAAAAGGGAAGAUUGAUUAUUAGUUGAAGAGGGAUGAGUCUGCUUUUGGUAUACACAAAGAAAAAGAAUUAUGAAUUGGAGUGAUCUGAAGAUGGAAUGAAAGAAAGAAAGAAAGGGACCCAAUGAAGUGAUGGCUUCCAUCUUCUGUCGUCUGACAGUUUCUACUUUGUAACGUUGUGGAUACGAAUAUAGGAUAGCGGAUAGCUAUGAGUCGUUGAUGAAAACGAGUUAAAUGUAUGAUAAUGAUUGGUCUGUGUGGUUUGAAUGGAAGAUUUUACAUGGUUAGUCUUCAA
Long non-coding RNA from Helianthus annuus (common sunflower), 435 nucleotides. RefSeq lists it as uncharacterized. The transcript is spliced from 2 exons. NCBI's taxonomy places the organism in Eukaryota, Viridiplantae, Streptophyta, Magnoliopsida, Asterales, Asteraceae. The record is from RefSeq and is a predicted model, not a curated record.